AUCGUUGUGGCGCAGUGGGGCGUGUCCGACUGUCAACGCAUUGUUGCAAAGAUUGUGGGUUCGAUCCCUACUCGCGAUU
RNAcentral lists this transfer RNA (79 nucleotides) under Heliconius melpomene (postman butterfly). Its description in RNAcentral is "tRNA HMEL006985". The record is from RNAcentral. Lineage: Eukaryota; Metazoa; Arthropoda; Insecta; Lepidoptera; Nymphalidae.